RNAcentral lists this ribosomal RNA (382 nucleotides) under uncultured eukaryote. RNAcentral describes it as "partial 18S ribosomal RNA". It matches the Rfam family "Eukaryotic small subunit ribosomal RNA", at positions 592 to 976 of the family's 1831-position model. The record is from RNAcentral.
CAAUAGCGUAUAUUAAAGUUGUUGCAGUUAAAAAGCUCGUAGUUGGACUUCUGCGGGUGGCGGCCGGUCGUGCUCGAAACGGGCGUGAACUUGGCGUGCUGCCCGCAUCUUUGGGGAGAUUGUGCGUGGCAUUAAGUUGUCGUGCAUGGGAUUCUCAUCAUUUACUGUGAAAAAAUUAGAGUGUUUAAAGCAGGCCUUUGCCUUGAAUACAUUAGCAUGGAAUAAUAAGAUAGGACCGUUGUCUAUUUUGUUGGUUUACAGAUGUCGGUAAUGAUUAAUAGGGAUAGUUGGGGGUAUUCGUAUUCAGUUGUCAGAGGUGAAAUUCUUGGAUUUUCGGAAGACGCACGACUGCGAAAGCAUUUACCAAGGAUGUUUNCAUCAA